Molecule: long non-coding RNA, 1239 nt
Filed under: Homo sapiens (human)
Lineage: Eukaryota; Metazoa; Chordata; Mammalia; Primates; Hominidae
Description: HSALNT0105599
Source: RNAcentral
GGGAGUGCAGUGCCGCCUUGGGUCACAACAUCCUGGAGCCUGUAGUAAACCUGGCCAGGUCACUCAGGAUGCAAGAAGAAGGCCUGAAGGACUCGCUGGUGAAGGUGGCCCCCAAGAGGCCGCCCAAGAGAUUCGGCUGUUGCUCCUGAUCACCUGUCCUGUCCUGGGUAGGAUGGACACCCAUGGGGUUUCCUGUCCCUCAGCUCCUGUCCUUUGUUCCUGGACAGCAACGACACAGAGGACCAGCUUGGAGGUUCAGGAAAACCCUUCUCAACUCAGGACUCGGAUCCCAGAGCAGGGCCGCAUCACCUCUGCCUUUCACACUCCAAAGGAGGGCUUUGCUGAGUGAACAAGGCUUGAGGGGCAGGGGUAUGGCAAAACUCUCCAAACAAAGAAAGUCUAGAAAAACGACUUAAGGAAAAUACACCAAAAUAUUGGCCGCACAUCUGUGGGUGUAAAAUUUUAGGGAGAAUGUGGGGGGGGGGUGUUACUUUCCAUUUUACACAUAUUUGUAUUUUCAGAUUUUCAACAAUAACAGUAUUCAAUACAUAAUCAGAAAAAAGAGAUGUGGAGGAGGAGGAGAGAAACUUCCCAAGGAGCUCCCUUGGGUGCUGCUGGCUCCUAAUUAGUGUAACCUGUUAAUCACAUGUUGCUCGGUGUUAGAGCGGUCCCUCUGUGCUCUGCUUGGCAGGGCGCUGUUGGCCUGGUCUCCCUCGCUAUUUCUAUUUGCAAGCAUGGGCUUUCUUCCCAGCAGAAUCUGGUUCCUGGGAAGAGUAAUGUUCCAAAGGCCUCUGAUAUGCCUCGAUGCCCUCCUGUCUUCCAGAGCCCCAACCUCACUCCCUUUCCCCACCAUACAAAACACACCUCCCAGGGGUCACAUUUGGGGGUCCCGCCCCCUGCUCCAAUGCCAUGGUGUCCCCAAGCACAGGGCUUUGGCCUGAGUUGUCAGUCUCUGGAUGCAUUUGAGGGGCAGCUAGGGUGUGGCUGGGGGGUCCAAGCAGCUGGGGAGCCGAGACUCAGAAUCAUUCACACACUUCUAUUUGGAGCUUUUGUGGAAGUUUCCAGAAUUCCAUAAUAUUCACCUCCUGAAUGGUGGCUGCCCCUUAUCAGCUAGGGCUGGGGUUUCCAGUGCCCUCGGAGAGCUUGCUUUAGAGUCUUGGAGAGACGGCCAUGGUCUUCGUUUGUAUGUCUGUCACAUCUUACCAUCAUCACAAAUUGAAUAUACAACAUGUGCCAGGC